GGUCACGAUAGCCAAGUGGUAAGCUCUUUGUACUGCCAUUCUGAAGACUAGGGUUCGAGUCCUAGUUCGACCA
This 73-nucleotide transfer RNA is filed under the name Ceratitis capitata (Mediterranean fruit fly). RNAcentral describes it as "tRNA-Gly". The record is from RNAcentral. Lineage: Eukaryota; Metazoa; Arthropoda; Insecta; Diptera; Tephritidae.